GUGGGCUGUCUCAUCCCCGCCUUGGCUCCGGGCCCCAUUCCUGGCAGCGGCCUCGCCCAUCCGCAGGCGGCUCCUGAGCUGUCUGCAGAGCCCCACCUGUGAGCCCUGCGGCUCUGGCAGCAGCAAGUCUGGUCACAGCCUCCUGCGGCCUCCCGGGGGCUGGCACCUCCGCCUGCACCUGAGCCAAGACCCCAGGGCCCCGCCCUCCCCUCCCUUGAUCUCCACCUUGCUGGGCCAAUUAUCCUUUCCUGGGGCACCGGUAUUUGUCACUGGGGUGUUGGGGUGUUUGUCCACCUAGGUGUCUGGUGCCCCACCAGACAGACCAGAGCUCCCUGGGCUGAGGGAGAGAGGUCUGCCUCUUGUAUCCAGUGACCCGGGACCUACUCACAAAAGAGCUCCCUACAUGUUUGAUGAGUGACUUGCAGAUCCUACAUCAGCACCAGAUGGGCCCUGGGUACAAGUGAUGUUGAGGUUGGGGUCCCAGAUCACCUUAUUCAUGAGGGUCGAAACAGGAGUCCCAGGUGAGCUGCUUCUCACAGAGCCAGCACCAAGGUUUCUCUGAGGAGGUAGCAAAAACAGCCAAAAGAAGAAAUACCCAAAGAACAUUCUGGAACAGAGGGGUGUGCCUCCCAGGGCAGCGACUGGAGUCCGUGGGUGGCAGAGCCCGCUAUGGAGCCCGUGGGCAGGGUGGGCCUGGAGCUUUAGUGCCCAGCCCAGGAGAACUCAGCAGGUCUGGUAGGGCUUUGGGGGAAAGAUCCAGAAAUGGGGCCUGCUCUGGAAGGGGGACCCGGGCCUGGUUCCAGCUGCAGCGUGUGGCACAGUGGCACACCAGGGCACAGCUGGGCUCCUGCCACCGUGCUUGCGGGAGGGACAGGAAGGUGGGGAGCCGCCCAGGUGGCUGCACCAGCAUUGCGGUCCGUCUCCUGUCAGUCACACAACAGCAGCGCCACGUGACAGGAGGGGGCGGCCAGCUAGGCACGGCUCCGGGGUGCAGUCCGUGGUCCCCACUCCAGGGUGGGCAUGGCGUGGCAGGCAGGGCCUGACCCCGGCAUCUAGGGGCAGGGAGGAGCCAGGUCACAGCACCCAGCACCCAGAACCUCCCUCCACGCACAGGAGUUCUGGGGACAUCGAGGAUCUAAGCCGUGACACACAGUAGGACACAGGGCCGGCCGCUGGCAGAGCCAGGACUGCUGGGUCAGCUCUGUGGGUUUCUGGUGGAUGGAUGGACGGACAGAUGGAUGGAUGGACAGACGGAUGAAGGAAUAAAUUAAUAAAUGGGUUAGAAACAGUUUUUCUGCCUGGCAGUGACACAAGGAAAAAAAAGGAAUUAAAUACACCCCAGGUGCACAAGCACAGUUUGUGCUGUGCGCUCCAAGGCACCCUGCCUGCUUAGAAGCACACCCAGGUGUCAUCGGGGAAACUGAGGCAGGUGCGUGUGAGGGAGGUGCACACGUUGCCUGGCUCUUUGGCCCAGCCUGCUUUUUCCUGGCCUUGGUGCUACCUCAGCCCCACGACAUCGGCCUUGGGGACUGGGUCCCCACUGAGCUCCCAGCCGCCUCCCCCACCCACUCUGCUCCCUCCACCUGCUCCAGGCACACCUUCUUCGUCCCCAACCCUCGUCCUCUCUGGGUGGACCCUGGGCUCAAUCCUAAGCAGUUCUGCUUAGCUUGAAAGAUUUCUAAAGCAAAUCCAGCUGAGGAUUUAGCUCAGCGGCUUAAGCGCCUGCCUUGCAAGCAGGUAGUCGUGAGUUCAAUCCUCAGUACUGAUAUAAAAAAAAAAGUUAAAACAAAUCUGGUGGUGAAACCCAGAAUCCCAGCGCUCUGGGAAGAGGCUGAGGCAGGAGGAUCCCAAGUUCAAGCCCAGCCUUAGUGAUACAGUGAGACUCUGUCUCCAAAUUUAAAAA
Molecule: long non-coding RNA, 1903 nt
Organism: Cavia porcellus (domestic guinea pig)
Lineage: Eukaryota; Metazoa; Chordata; Mammalia; Rodentia; Caviidae
Exons: 2
Source: RefSeq, a predicted model, not a curated record